Apodemus sylvaticus (European woodmouse) is the source of this 132-nucleotide small nucleolar RNA. RefSeq annotates it as small nucleolar RNA SNORA64/SNORA10 family. The transcript has a single exon. The record is from RefSeq and is a predicted model, not a curated record. Lineage: Eukaryota; Metazoa; Chordata; Mammalia; Rodentia; Muridae.
GUCUUACUUAAUCUGCAUAAUUACACCAGGUGUCAUCCAUGUGACUUUCAAACUUGGUGAGAGAGGAGGGUGUUCCUCUGGGACCGCGAGGUGGCCCCACAGUGGCUCUCCUGUCUAAAGGUCUCUGCAGAC